ACACUGUUAAAAAGCCACGCCUCCGUGCCUCUACGCCGAGGUUUAAGCUGGCGAGGCGCCGUGGGUAGGUCUACCGCGGCGAGGACGCCCAACCUUCGGAAUAUAAUAUAGAGCAUUCUUCAGCGAGGGAAGUUUACCGGAGGCUGAACACUGAGCGAGGAUCUUGGCGUUCUCGGCUCAGGUGUGGACCGAGGGAAGUUUUGCUUCAGCUUGUGACGAAACGGAUCAGAAGUUUCUGGCACCACAUCGUAGAUCCUUCCACGGAGACGAGCAUUAGAUCUAACAAUGGUGAUGAUGAUCCUGAUGAAGGCCACAAGCCAAAAUGUUACAGGUGUAACGUUGGGUUGUGUUGCGGUUGAGAGGAGGCGGCAAAACACCUAGCAGGCUAGUCAGAAGAACACCCACCCACGCUGGUAUCGAGGAGGGAGUGGAUACCAGACGAGGUCAUGGAGAUAUGAGGAUGCUUCGCAGCAGACACCAAGACUGCCAAUUCCGUGCGGGAGGAAGAUAGCUGCUAUAAUCUAUGUUUUUGUCUCACUGUAUAAUGUUGUACAGCCCGUUUGAGGGUUGUCCUUUUUGUGAAACCUGCUGCUGGUUAACAUAGAGGUCCACAGCACUGUGUAAACGUGUAAAUUUCAACUUUCAAAUGCAAAGUAAAUCCUUUUUUC
This is a long non-coding RNA of Oreochromis aureus, 668 nucleotides long. The record is from Ensembl. NCBI's taxonomy places the organism in Eukaryota, Metazoa, Chordata, Actinopteri, Cichliformes, Cichlidae.